GAGGGUAUAGCUCAGUGGUAGAGCACAUGCAUAACACACACAAGGUCCUGGGUUCAAUCCCCAGUACCUCCU
RNAcentral lists this transfer RNA (72 nucleotides) under Camelus bactrianus (Bactrian camel). It matches the Rfam family "tRNA". Rfam says of the family: Transfer RNA (tRNA) molecules are approximately 80 nucleotides in length. Their secondary structure includes four short double-helical elements and three loops (D, anti-codon, and T loops). Further hydrogen bonds mediate the characteristic L-shaped molecular structure. tRNAs have two regions of fundamental functional importance: the anti-codon, which is responsible for specific mRNA codon recognition, and the 3' end, to which the tRNAs corresponding amino acid is attached (by aminoacyl-tRNA synthetases). tRNAs cope with the degeneracy of the genetic code in two manners: having more than one tRNA (with a specific anti-codon) for a particular amino acid; and 'wobble' base-pairing, i.e. permitting non-standard base-pairing at the 3rd anti-codon position. Lineage: Eukaryota; Metazoa; Chordata; Mammalia; Artiodactyla; Camelidae. RNAcentral also lists the same sequence under 2 other names. The record is from Rfam by way of RNAcentral.